GAUGAAAGUUGGGGGUGCCCGCAAGGGAAUCAAGGUAGAGGUGCUGCAUGGCUGUCGUCAGCUCGUGUCGUGAGAUGUUCGGUUAAGUCCGGCAACGAGCGCAACCCUUGUUCUUAGUUGCCAUCAGGUCAAGCUGGGCACUCUAGGAAGACUGCCGGCGAUAAGCUGGAGGAAGGUGGGGAUGACGUCAAGUCCUCAUGGCCCUUACGUCCCGGGCUACACACGUGCUACAAUGGCUGGUACAACGGGCAGCAAGACCGCGAGGUGGAGCAAAUCCCUGAAAACCAGUCUCAGUUCAGAUUGCAGUCUGCAACUCGACUGCAUGAAGUCGGAAUCGCUAGUAAUCGCGGAUCAGCACGCCGCGGUGAAUACGUUCCCGGGCCUUGUACACACCGCCCGUCACGCCAUGGGAGUUGGCAGUACCCGAAGUCGGUGUCUGAAUCCGUCAGCUGACGGAUAGGAGCCGCCGAAGGUAAGGCCGAUGACUGGGGCG
RNAcentral lists this ribosomal RNA (493 nucleotides) under uncultured bacterium. RNAcentral describes it as "bacterial SSU rRNA". It matches the Rfam family "Bacterial small subunit ribosomal RNA", at positions 1000 to 1482 of the family's 1533-position model. The record is from RNAcentral.